This 400-nucleotide ribosomal RNA is filed under the name uncultured bacterium. RNAcentral's name for it is "bacterial SSU rRNA". It matches the Rfam family "Bacterial small subunit ribosomal RNA", at positions 975 to 1375 of the family's 1533-position model. The record is from RNAcentral.
CAGGACUUGACAUCCCUCUGACCGGCGUGUAACGGCGCCCUCCCUUCGGGGCAGAGGAGACAGGUGGUGCAUGGUUGUCGUCAGCUCGUGUCGUGAGAUGUUGGGUUAAGUCCCGCAACGAGCGCAACCCUUGUCAUUAGUUGCCAGCAGGUUAAGCUGGGCACUCUAGUGAGACUGCCGGGGACAACUCGGAGGAAGGUGGGGAUGACGUCAAAUCAUCAUGCCCCUUAUGUUCUGGGCUACACACGUGCUACAAUGGCCGGUACAGAGAGACGCAAUGUCGUGAGGCGGAGCAAAACUCUAAAACCGGUCCCAGUUCGGAUUGCAGGCUGAAACACGCCUGCAUGAAGUCGGAGUUGCUAGUAAUCGCGAAUCAGAAUGUCGCGGUGAAUGCGUUCCC